UUGAUGUGUAGGAUAGGUGGGAGGCUUUGAAGUGUGGACGCCAGUCUGCAUGGAGCCAACCUUGAAAUACCACCCUUUAAUGUUUGAUGUUCUAACGUUGCCCCGUUAUCCGGGGUGCGGACAGUGUCUGGUGGGUAGUUUGACUGGGGCGGUCUCCUCCCAAAGAGUAACGGAGGAGCACGAAGGUUGGCUAAGCAUGGUCGGACAUCAUGCGGUUAGUGCAAAGGCAUAAGCCAGCUUGACUGCGAGAGUGACGGCUCGAGCAGGUACGAAAGUAGGUCUUAGUGAUCCGGUGGUUCUGAAUGGAAGGGCCAUCGCUCAACGGAUAAAAGGUACUCCGGGGAUAACAGGCUGAUACCGCCCAAGAGUUCAUAUCGACGGCGGUGUUUGGCACCUCGAUGUCGGCUCAUCACAUCCUGGGGCUGAAGUAGGUCCCAAGGGUACGGCUGUUCGCCGUUUAAAGUGGUACGCGAGCUGGGUUUAGAACGUCGUGAGACAGUUCGGUCCCUAUCUGCCGUGGGCGUUGGAAGAUUGAAAGGGGCUGCUCCUAGUACGAGAGGACCGGAGUGGACGCACCACUGGUGUUCGGGUUGUCAUGCCAAUGGCAUUGCCCGGUAGCUAAGUGCGGAAGAGAUAACCGCUGAAAGCAUCUAAGCGGGAAACUUGCCUUGAGAUGAGUCUUCCCUGACCCUUUAAGGGUCCUAAAGGAACGUUUAAGACUAAGACGUUGAUAGGUUGGGUGUGUAAGCAUAGCGAUAUGUUGAGCUAACCAAUACUAAUGAACCGUGAGGCUUAACCUG
Molecule: ribosomal RNA, 800 nt
Filed under: Providencia rettgeri
Lineage: Bacteria; Pseudomonadati; Pseudomonadota; Gammaproteobacteria; Enterobacterales; Morganellaceae
Description: partial 23S ribosomal RNA
Rfam family: Bacterial large subunit ribosomal RNA
Source: RNAcentral